Long non-coding RNA from Bufo gargarizans (Asiatic toad), 1226 nucleotides. RefSeq lists it as uncharacterized. The record is from RefSeq and is a predicted model, not a curated record. The transcript is spliced from 4 exons. NCBI's taxonomy places the organism in Eukaryota, Metazoa, Chordata, Amphibia, Anura, Bufonidae.
UUGCCCGAACGCAUAUGCGUUCCAUAUCGGCGUCUUUGGAUGUGUGUGUGUACUAAUAAUGAGCCAGGGCCUGCAAGCGGGAGCCUAACACCGCCUACACCACCACUAAAUGGAACCGCUGAGAAAUCGAGACUCAUCAGACCAGGCAACAUUUUUCCAGUCUUCAACAGUCCAAUUUUGGAGAAUCUACAAAUAAAAUCUGUUUAUGGCUGAAGUCCAAGGAGAGAGAGAUGGAAGCGACACUUUCGUUAUGCUGAAUCCUGCCAAAUACAAAAAACAAUGUUGUCAAUAAAAUGGACCUUUUUACGUACAUGACAUUUAAAUGACAUUUAAAUUAGCUGUUUGUGUAGACAUAUUUCUCCUCAAACCCAUUCAUGUACAUCACUGCAAAGGUUAGCGCUAUGUUACAGCCCAUAGCUGUUCCAGUUCUCUGUAAGUAAAACCUGUUUUUAAAUACAAAAUAAUUGUUCUUCAGCAAAGAGUAAUUGUAAAAUUAAAUUAUCUUCCUGGGGGAAAAGUCUUUGUGUGUUUCCAUCCCCUCUUUUACAGAAAACAUGACUUCUUAUGUGGGAAUAUUCAUAGAGGCUUGAUAAGUCCAUAGUCAUUAAGACACUCUUCCCAAUUCAGGACCAGAUUUAUAAUUUUAUCGUGGAAGUCCUUAAUAUCGCUUAAAAAAUACUUCUCCAUUGGGUAUAUGGAUGUCAACAGCAAUCCAACAUCUUGGAUGUGGGUUGGAAAAGAGAAUUACAUCCAAACAGUAUAUGCCUUCCUGGAGGAUGUCCAAGUCCUUGUGAAUCUUAAAGAGAACCCGUCACAUUGGACAUGUUGUCGGAUUUGAAGGCAGCAUAUUAUAGAGCAGGAGAGGCUGAGCAGAUUAAUCCAUAGUUUUUGGGAGAAGAUUCAGUUAAAUUUGCAAUUUAGACAUUUAAAUUUCUGCUUAUUCUGAGUUUUAAAGUCAAGUCGGCGCUCCUAUCAGUUAUUGACAGCUCUUUCUGUAUACACAGUAAUAAAGGGUAGGCUGUCAAUCACUGAUAGGAUCGGCUCCUUGACUUCAGAGCCCAGAAUAAACAGAAAUUUUAAUGAAUGAAACACAAGUUAUAAAAACAAUUUAUCAAAUUACUCAACUCCUUCUGCUCUACGCCAUGCUACCUGCAGAAUAAUUUGCAUUUUCAAGAUGACAGAUUAUCUUUACGAAAAGUAUGCUGUAUAUCCCCAGCAUUAUUGGA